CAAAUAUGAAUAGAGGACUUCUGUAGCAGAAUAAGUAUAGCCAAACUUGCAGAAAACAACAACCGGAUGUGCAUCACUAAAGAAAAGAAACAGGAUUUCUCCAAAUGUAGAAAUGCAGACAGCUCUUCACCAUCAACUGUGAUCCUUUGUAAUUUUGUGUACAUAUGAAACUAAAUGACUGCAAAGAAU
Mya arenaria is the source of this 189-nucleotide long non-coding RNA. RefSeq lists it as uncharacterized. The transcript has 2 exons. The record is from RefSeq and is a predicted model, not a curated record. NCBI's taxonomy places the organism in Eukaryota, Metazoa, Mollusca, Bivalvia, Myida, Myidae.